RNAcentral lists this transfer RNA (82 nucleotides) under Rodentolepis nana. Its description in RNAcentral is "Hymenolepis nana tRNA". It matches the Rfam family "tRNA". From Rfam's summary of the family: Transfer RNA (tRNA) molecules are approximately 80 nucleotides in length. Their secondary structure includes four short double-helical elements and three loops (D, anti-codon, and T loops). Further hydrogen bonds mediate the characteristic L-shaped molecular structure. tRNAs have two regions of fundamental functional importance: the anti-codon, which is responsible for specific mRNA codon recognition, and the 3' end, to which the tRNAs corresponding amino acid is attached (by aminoacyl-tRNA synthetases). tRNAs cope with the degeneracy of the genetic code in two manners: having more than one tRNA (with a specific anti-codon) for a particular amino acid; and 'wobble' base-pairing, i.e. permitting non-standard base-pairing at the 3rd anti-codon position. Lineage: Eukaryota; Metazoa; Platyhelminthes; Cestoda; Cyclophyllidea; Hymenolepididae. The record is from Rfam by way of RNAcentral.
GACGCAGUGGCCGAGUGGUUAAGGCGAUGGACUGCUAAUCCAUUGGGGUUUCCCCGCGUGAGUUCGAAUCUCACCUGCGUCG